This 253-nucleotide ribosomal RNA is filed under the name uncultured bacterium. RNAcentral's name for it is "partial 16S ribosomal RNA". It matches the Rfam family "Bacterial small subunit ribosomal RNA", at positions 524 to 776 of the family's 1533-position model. The record is from RNAcentral.
GACGUAGGAGGCGAGCGUUGUCCGGAUUCAUUGGGCGUAAAGCGCGCGUAGGCGGACCUGCAAGUCGGGGGUGAAAGCCCGAGGCUCAACCUCGGAACUGCCUUCGAUACUGCGGGUCUCGAGUCCGGGAGAGGUGAGUGGAAUUCCUAGUGUAGAGGUGAAAUUCGUAGAUAUUAGGAAGAACACCAGUGGCGAAGGCGGCUCACUGGCCCGGUACUGACGCUGAGGCGCGAAAGCGUGGGGAGCGAACAGG